This 513-nucleotide ribosomal RNA is filed under the name uncultured archaeon. RNAcentral's name for it is "bacterial SSU rRNA". It matches the Rfam family "Archaeal small subunit ribosomal RNA", at positions 367 to 879 of the family's 1478-position model. The record is from RNAcentral.
GUGAUUCGGGGAUGACUAGUGUCAGGUUCUUAUGGUGGCUGUCCAGGUGUGUAAAAUACACCUGUAACCUAGGGACGGUCAAUUCCGGUGCCAACUACCCCGGUAUCACCGCCGGCCCGAGUGCCGAUCUUUAUUAUUGCGUCUAAAGGGUCCUUAUGCGGUUAGGUCAUUUCCUCCGGGAAAUCUGACGGCUCAUCCGAUAUGUUUUCCGGGGAUAUUGACAAGCUUGGAACCGGGAGAGGUAAAAGGUACUACAGGGGUAGGAGUGAAAUCUUGAAAUCCCUGUGAGACCACCCGUGACAAAUGCUUCUUACCAUAACGGGUUCUACGGUCAGGGACGAAAGCUGGGGGCUCGAACCGGAUUAGAUACCCGGGUAGUCCCAGCCGUAAAUAAUGCUCCCUAGGUGUCAGGUGUGGUUCGACCGUGUCUGGUGCCGCAGGUAAGCCGUGAAACUAGCCACCUGGUAAUUACGGUCUCAAGGCUGAAACUUAUAUGAAUUGUGGGGGGACCAC